CCUACGGGUGGCUGCAGUAGGGAGUUUUCGGCAAUGGGGGGAACCCUGACCGAGCAACGCCGCGUGAACGAGGAAGGUCUUCGGAUUGUAAAGUUCUGUUGUAGGGGAAUAAAGGUCGGAAGAAGAGAAUGUUUCCGAUUUGAAGGUACCCUGCCAGAAAGCCACGGCUAACUACGUGCCAGCAGCCGCGGUAAUACGUAGGUGGCAAGCGUUAUCCGGAAUUAUUGGGCGUAAAGAGUGAGCAGGCGGCCUUUUAAGUCUGAAGUCAAAUGCAGUGGCUCAACCACUGUCCGCUUUGGAAACUGAGAGGCUAGAGUACGAGAGAGGUAUAUGGAAUUCCAUGUGGAGCGGUGAAAUGCGUAGAUAUAUGGAGGAACACCAGUGGCGAAGGCGAUAUACUGGAUCGAUACUGACGCUCAGUCACGAAAGCGUGGGUAGCAAAUAGGAUUAGAUACCCUGGUAGUC
Molecule: ribosomal RNA, 465 nt
Filed under: uncultured Bacillota bacterium
Lineage: Bacteria; Bacillati; Bacillota
Description: bacterial SSU rRNA
Rfam family: Bacterial small subunit ribosomal RNA
Source: RNAcentral